RNAcentral lists this ribosomal RNA (460 nucleotides) under uncultured bacterium. RNAcentral describes it as "partial 16S ribosomal RNA". It matches the Rfam family "Bacterial small subunit ribosomal RNA", at positions 338 to 795 of the family's 1533-position model. The record is from RNAcentral.
CCUACGGGAGGCAGCAGUGAGGAAUAUUGGUCAAUGGACGAGAGUCUGAACCAGCCAAGUAGCGUGAAGGAUGACUGCCCUAUGGGUUGUAAACUUCUUUUAUAUGGGAAUAAAACGUUCCACGUGUGGGAUUUUGUAUGUACCAUAUGAAUAAGGAUCGGCUAACUCCGUGCCAGCAGCCGCGGUAAUACGGAGGAUCCGAGCGUUAUCCGGAUUUAUUGGGUUUAAAGGGAGCGUAGGUGGAUUGUUAAGUCAGUUGUGAAAGUUUGCGGCUCAACCGUAAAAUUGCAGUUGAAACUGGCAGUCUUGAGUACAGUAGAGGUGGGCGGAAUUCGUGGUGUAGAGGUGAAAUGCUUAGAUAUCACGAAGAACUCCGAUUGCGAAGGCAGUUCACUGGACUGCAACUGACACUGAGGCUCGAAAGUGUGGGUAUCAAACAGGAUUAGAUACCCUUGUAGUC